GCGACCCCAGGUCAAGCGGGG
RNAcentral lists this ribosomal RNA (21 nucleotides) under Metrosideros nervulosa. RNAcentral's name for it is "partial 26S ribosomal RNA". Lineage: Eukaryota; Viridiplantae; Streptophyta; Magnoliopsida; Myrtales; Myrtaceae. The record is from RNAcentral. RNAcentral also lists the same sequence under 1 other name.